Molecule: non-coding RNA, 70 nt
Organism: Rhododendron griersonianum
Lineage: Eukaryota; Viridiplantae; Streptophyta; Magnoliopsida; Ericales; Ericaceae
Source: the annotation of a GenBank genome assembly
GGGUUGGCCUGGUGGUUAAGGCGGAGGACUUAGGCUCCUAAGGUCUCAGGUUCGAAACCUCACAGGUACU